UCGAGAAUUUUUCUCAAUGGGGGCAACCCUGAAGGAGCGACGCCGCGUGGAGGAUGAAGGUCUUCGGAUCGUAAACUCCUGUCAUUGGUGAACAAGGCCCACACAGUAACUGGUGUUGGGAUUGAUAGUAGCCGAAGAGGAAGAGACGGCUAACUCUGUGCCAGCAGCCGCGGUAAUACAGAGGUCUCAAGCGUUGUUCGGAUUCAUCGGGCGUAAAGGGUGCGUAGGUGGCGAGGUAAGUCUGGUGUGAAAUCCCGGGGCUCAACCCCGGAACUGCACUGGAUACUGCCCUGCUUGAGUACUGGAGAGGAGAUUGGAAUUUACGGUGUAGCAGUGAAAUGCGUAGAUAUCGUAAGGAAGACCAGUGGCGAAGGCGAAUCUCUGGACAGUUACUGACACUGAGGCACGAAGGCCAGGGGAGCAAACGGGAUUAGAUACCCGGUAGUCCUGGCAGUAAACGGUGCGCGUUUGGUGUGGGAGGAA
RNAcentral lists this ribosomal RNA (483 nucleotides) under uncultured Verrucomicrobiota bacterium. RNAcentral describes it as "bacterial SSU rRNA". It matches the Rfam family "Bacterial small subunit ribosomal RNA", at positions 355 to 831 of the family's 1533-position model. The record is from RNAcentral. Lineage: Bacteria; Pseudomonadati; Verrucomicrobiota.